GGAAAAGGGGGGGGCUCGGGGGCGCCGGUACCACCCCGGAGGAUGGGGGUCUUCCCCACCAGGAGAAGAAGGCUGCGCACCUAAGAGAGGAGGGGGACGGGUACGGAUCCUCCUGGUCAUCUGAUCCAGGUCAAGAAGGACUUUGCGUUGCCCACAGCCCGUGGAACCCACCAGAGCAUCAUCUCCCCAGGGCCUGCUGCCGCCCCCCAGGAGGGAGGCUCUUUCAAUCCCUGGAGGAUUGAGAGGUAAAAUAUCUCCAGCUCGCGUUUCUCCUUCUGUUCGCUUUUCCAGCAGGGGUUAAUGAAACCGUUGAGAUUCGUAGAGCUUUA
This is a long non-coding RNA of Calidris pugnax (ruff), 329 nucleotides long. RefSeq lists it as uncharacterized. Lineage: Eukaryota; Metazoa; Chordata; Aves; Charadriiformes; Scolopacidae. The transcript has 2 exons. The record is from RefSeq and is a predicted model, not a curated record.